GGGGAUGUAGCUCAGUGGUAGAGCGUGUGCUUCGCAUGUACAAGGUCCUGGGAUCAAUCCCCAGCAUCUCCA
Molecule: non-coding RNA, 72 nt
Organism: Larimichthys crocea (large yellow croaker)
Lineage: Eukaryota; Metazoa; Chordata; Actinopteri; Sciaenidae
Source: Rfam